UCUCUUUCAGUUUUAUUUUCUGCUUCUCAGUCUUUUAAAAUCAUUUGAUCUGAUUGUAAUGUGCUCCAGAUGCGAUUUGUUUUAAUAGUUUAGUCAUGCUUAAACAUGCUUUUGCACUUUCAACAAACAAAAUGCUUUUCACCAAGAUAAGUACAGUAAGAGGAGUAUAAGUUUUUGACUUUGUUUGCCUCCAUUUACAUCAUGGUCAUACAUAUCUUAUAAAAGGUUUUGGCCAUAUUCCAAGGUAGCAUUGUUUGUUUGUAUUGGUUCGGUGGCUUUGGAAGUUGAAUGAUGACAGCUGCAUCUGUUGGAAAUAAUUUUACCCUUUAGCUUUGGCAAAUGAUGAAGCUUUGAUAUUUUCCCAAAAUGCAUUGCAAAACGAUAUUAAUGUUAAAAAGUAAGAAAACUUCGAUUUUAAUGAUGAAGCUUUGAUGAAAAAUUAGAUAUGACAACAUCUCUAUGUAUCUCCGCCACACGAAAUGCAUUUUUUUUCUGGAAAUUUUGCUAACUUGGAUUGACAACUAGUUCUAUACAACUAGUGAAAUACCAAAUAAAAAGAAGAUUACAGUUUUAAGCUACUCAUCCAUGGAAAUGAAUAUUUACUUUUUCUUCUUAGAUGCUUUCUCAUCAGCCAUUUUCUGGAAGAGGGAUCCAUCAUAAGCAGCAUCCCGUGUUCGUCCUUGCAAAGUCCUUUGGCUCCACGCUUGGUUUUAGGGAUGUUAGAGACUCCACACUUCUGCAUACUGCCACUGGGAGAGGGCAGCUUGAGGUAGUUAGGCAUUUAAUAUCCUCGAAUGAGGUGAUGAUCGAGUCUGUGGACAACAGAGGCAACACGGCCUUAAAUAUCGCGGCCUACAGGGGCCAUCUGCCAGUGGUGGAGCUUCUUACACGCGCAAGCCCUAGCACUGCAUCUUUGACAAAUAACAGCGAGAACACGUUUCUUCGCAUGGCAGUGUUGGGCUUCCUCGCCCCCGGCUUCAAAAGGCUGAACCGACAGCUGGAGCUCAUGAAUAUUGCAUUUUCUAGUUUAACUUGUUUACCAUUUGUAAUUAUUGUUAAACUUUUUUAAUAUUGUUUGCAGACCAAAGAAAACAAUGGGAAGUGCCUUGAAUUUAUAGAAUUCUAUAAAAGAACUCACACGCUAAAAGGCAAAGAUUCAGAAGAAGGGGUGUUGUGUUCGCAGCGCGCCAUAGAAACGAUGGAGAAAGUUAGUGCGAAGGCAGAUGAAUUACGGGUACAAGCAAUGCGAGAACAAGUCACUAUCGAGGUGCGCGAGGACUUGGAGAAAAAAUAUGAGGCGUCGCGCGAGGACUUGGAGAAGAAACAUGAGGCGUUGGUCACUGAGAUAGAAAGGCAAAAUGAGGAGAUGCACUCGGAUUUUGAUUGAAAGAAUGAGAGGAUGUUAGAACAAACGAUGUACCUUAGUGAACAAGUUAAGCAAAUGAGAAGUCAAAAAUAGGUUUAGUCUUAUAAACUAAAAGUGUAAAACAAUAUUAUUACUUUUAUGUAAAAUUUGAGCUUUUGUUA
Molecule: non-coding RNA, 1527 nt
Organism: Salvia hispanica
Lineage: Eukaryota; Viridiplantae; Streptophyta; Magnoliopsida; Lamiales; Lamiaceae
Source: RefSeq, a predicted model, not a curated record